CCGCAAGGGCAACCGGCGAACGGGUGCGUAACACGUGAGCAACCUGCCUAGAUGUGGGGGAUAGCCGGCCCAACGGCCGGGUAAUACCGCAUACGCUCACUGGGUGGCAUCACCUGGUGAGGAAACCUACGGGCAUCUAGAGGGGCUCGCGGCCUAUCAGCUAGUUGGUGGGGUAAUGGCCUACCAAGGCAUCGACGGGUAGCUGGUCUGAGAGGAUGGCCAGCCACAUUGGGACUGAGAUACGGCCCAGACUCCUACGGGAGGCAGCAGUGGGGAAUAUUGCGCAAUGGGCGAAAGCCUGACGCAGCGACGCCGCGUGGGGGAUGAAGCAUUUCGGU
This 338-nucleotide ribosomal RNA is filed under the name uncultured bacterium. Its description in RNAcentral is "bacterial SSU rRNA". It matches the Rfam family "Bacterial small subunit ribosomal RNA", at positions 83 to 422 of the family's 1533-position model. The record is from RNAcentral.